CUUAAAAUGGCAGAUUUAUGCUGGAAAUUUAAGAUUUUCAUAUGGCUUUAGCCUUUUAAGA
Molecule: transfer RNA, 61 nt
Filed under: Leipothrix sp. 1 XFX-2017
Lineage: Eukaryota; Metazoa; Arthropoda; Arachnida; Trombidiformes; Eriophyidae
Description: tRNA-Leu
Source: RNAcentral